This 1552-nucleotide ribosomal RNA is filed under the name Drosophila melanogaster (fruit fly). RNAcentral describes it as "eukaryotic LSU rRNA". It matches the Rfam family "Eukaryotic large subunit ribosomal RNA", at positions 1862 to 3185 of the family's 3401-position model. The record is from RNAcentral. Lineage: Eukaryota; Metazoa; Arthropoda; Insecta; Diptera; Drosophilidae.
GGUCUCCAAGGUGAAGAGUCUCUAGUCGAUAGAAUAAUGUAGGUAAGGGAAGUCGGCAAAUUAGAUCCGUAACUUCGGGAUAAGGAUUGGCUCUGAAGAUUGAGAUAGUCGGGCUUGAUUGGGAAACAAUAACAUGGUUUAUGUGCUCGUUCUGGGUAAAUAGAGUUUCUAGCAUUUAUGUUAGUUACUUGUUCCCCGGAUAGUUUAGUUACGUAGCCAAUUGUGGAACUUUCUUGCUAAAAUUUUUAAGAAUACUAUUUGGGUUAAACCAAUUAGUUCUUAUUAAUUAUAACGAUUAUCAAUUAACAAUCAAUUCAGAACUGGCACGGACUUGGGGAAUCCGACUGUCUAAUUAAAACAAAGCAUUGUGAUGGCCCUAGCGGGUGUUGACACAAUGUGAUUUCUGCCCAGUGCUCUGAAUGUCAAAGUGAAGAAAUUCAAGUAAGCGCGGGUCAACGGCGGGAGUAACUAUGACUCUCUUAAGGCUAUACUUAGGUAGCCAAAUGCCUCGUCAUCUAAUUAGUGACGCGCAUGAAUGGAUUAACGAGAUUCCUACUGUCCCUAUCUACUAUCUAGCGAAACCACAGCCAAGGGAACGGGCUUGGAAUAAUUAGCGGGGAAAGAAGACCCUUUUGAGCUUGACUCUAAUCUGGCAGUGUAAGGAGACAUAAGAGGUGUAGAAUAAGUGGGAGAUAUUAGACCUCGGUUUGGUAUCGUCAAUGAAAUACCACUACUCUUAUUGUUUCCUUACUUACUUGAUUAAAUGGAACGUGUAUCAUUUCCUAGCCAUUAUACGGAUAUAUUUAUUAUAUCUUAUGGUAUUGGGUUUUGAUGCAAGCUUCUUGAUCAAAGUAUCACGAGUUUGUUAUAUAAUCGCAAACAAAUUCUUUAAUAAAACGAUGCAUUUAUGUAUUUUUGAUUUGAAAAUUUGGUAUAACUCCAAUUACUCAGGUAUGAUCCAAUUCAAGGACAUUGCCAGGUAGGGAGUUUGACUGGGGCGGUACAUCUCUCAAAUAAUAACGGAGGUGUCCCAAGGCCAGCUCAGUGCGGACAGAAACCACACAUAGAGCAAAAGGGCAAAUGCUGACUUGAUCUCGGUGUUCAGUACACACAGGGACAGCAAAAGCUCGGCCUAUCGAUCCUUUUGGUUUAAAGAGUUUUUAACAAGAGGUGUCAGAAAAGUUACCAUAGGGAUAACUGGCUUGUGGCGGCCAAGCGUUCAUAGCGACGUCGCUUUUUGAUCCUUCGAUGUCGGCUCUUCCUAUCAUUGUGAAGCAAAAUUCACCAAGCGUUGGAUUGUUCACCCAUGCAAGGGAACGUGAGCUGGGUUUAGACCGUCGUGAGACAGGUUAGUUUUACCCUACUAAUGACAAAACGUUGUUGCGACAGCAUUCCUGCGUAGUACGAGAGGAACCGCAGGUACGGACCAAUGGCACAAUACUUGUUCGAGCGAACAGUGGUAUGACGCUACGUCCGUUGGAUUAUGCCUGAACGCCUCUAAGGUCGUAUCCGUGCUGGACUGCAAUGAUAAAUAAGGGGCAAUUUGCAUUGU